GACGAACGCUGGCGGCGUGCUUAACACAUGCAAGUCGAACGAGAGUAUCAAAGAAGCUUGCUUUUAAGAUACUUUAGUGGCGGACGGGUGAGUAACGCGUGAGGAGCUGUCCUAUGCAGGGGGACAACAGUUGGAAACGACUGCUAAUACCCCAUAAGCCGAGAGGUAAAAGGAUUUAUCCGGCAAGGAGGUACUCGCGUCCUAUCAGCUAGUAGGUGGGGUAACGGCUCACCUAGGCGAAGACGGGUAGCCGGCCUGAGAGGGCGAACGGCCACAGUGGAACGGAGAUAGUGUCCAGACGCCAACGGGAGUCAGCAGUGGGGAAUAUUGGCCAAUGGGGGAAACCCUGACCCAGCGACGCCGAGUGGGUGAAGAAAUCCUUCGGGAUGUAAAGCCCUGGUGUAUGGGAAGAGCAGAAGACGGUACCAUACGAGGAAGCCCCGGCAAACUACGUGCCAGCAGCCGCGGUAA
RNAcentral lists this ribosomal RNA (471 nucleotides) under uncultured bacterium. RNAcentral's name for it is "partial 16S ribosomal RNA". It matches the Rfam family "Bacterial small subunit ribosomal RNA", at positions 28 to 523 of the family's 1533-position model. The record is from RNAcentral.